GCAUUCGUGGUGUAACGGUCAGAACACUCGACGCGUAUUCGAGAGGUUCGAGGUUCAAAUCCCGCCGAUAGCA
This 73-nucleotide transfer RNA is filed under the name Stegodyphus mimosarum. It matches the Rfam family "tRNA". Rfam says of the family: Transfer RNA (tRNA) molecules are approximately 80 nucleotides in length. Their secondary structure includes four short double-helical elements and three loops (D, anti-codon, and T loops). Lineage: Eukaryota; Metazoa; Arthropoda; Arachnida; Araneae; Eresidae. The record is from Rfam by way of RNAcentral.